UAUUAUUUUAUAAAUGUCUCUGAUAAUAUCUAUUUAGCUUAGUUCUAUACAUAAAAUACAACAGCAACAACAACUCAGUAUAUUCCCACACAGUGAGGUCUGGGGAGGGUGAAAUGUACGCAGUUCAUACCGCUACCUCCGAAGAAGUAGAGAGGUUUUUUCCGAUAGACCCCCAGCUUAAGAGAGAGAAUGGUAUAGCAAGG
Molecule: long non-coding RNA, 203 nt
Filed under: Capsicum annuum
Lineage: Eukaryota; Viridiplantae; Streptophyta; Magnoliopsida; Solanales; Solanaceae
Description: long non-coding RNA (CANN_LNC005262)
Source: RNAcentral